AUUGAACGCUGGCGGCAUGCCUUACACAUGCAAGUCGAACGGUAACGGGCCUUCGGGUGCCGACGAGUGGCGAACGGGGGAGUAAUACAUCGGAACGUGCCCGAUCGUGGGGGAUAACGAGGCGAAAGCUUUGCUAAUACCGCAUACGAUCUACGGAUGAAAGCCGGGGACCGCAAGGCCUAGCGCGGGCGGAGCGGCCGAUGGCAGAUUAGGUAGUUGGUGGGAUAAAAGCUUACCAAGCCGACGAUCUGUAGCUGGUCUGAGAGGAUGAUCAGCCACACUGGGACUGAGACACGGCCCAGACUCCUACGGGAGGCAGCAGUGGGGAAUUUUGGACAAUGGGCGCAAGCCUGAUCCAGCCAUGCCGCGUGCAGGAUGAAGGCCUUCGGGUUGUAAACUGCUUUUGUACGGAACGAAAAGCCUUCUUUUAAUACAGGAGGGUCAUGACGGUACCGUAAGAAUAAGCACCGGCUAACUACGUG
Molecule: ribosomal RNA, 482 nt
Filed under: uncultured bacterium
Lineage: Bacteria
Description: partial 16S ribosomal RNA
Rfam family: Bacterial small subunit ribosomal RNA
Source: RNAcentral